AUUUUCCUUAAAAGAGUUACGAAACAUUUCCAUCGUUCAGAUUUUCAAUAAGAUCAUUCGUAUUUUUUCCAGUGUUGAAUCCGGGUGUACUUCAGGGAGGGGUGAGGAAAUGCCUACUUGGAAUUUAAUACGCUUCUCUGGCGACAACUGCCAAUAAAAUGAAAAAAAGUGAGCAACGCCCCAGGAAAAUUGUCUGGAUUCAACACUGUUUUUCAUCACGUUAUUUCUACUACGUCAUCGGUCAUAUCGAUCGGACUGAAGACCAAAAUGUUCGU
Non-coding RNA from Cinara cedri, 275 nucleotides. Lineage: Eukaryota; Metazoa; Arthropoda; Insecta; Hemiptera; Aphididae. The record is from the annotation of a GenBank genome assembly.